Molecule: transfer RNA, 73 nt
Filed under: Candidatus Curtissbacteria bacterium
Lineage: Bacteria; Candidatus Curtissiibacteriota
Description: tRNA-Thr
Rfam family: tRNA
About the family: Transfer RNA (tRNA) molecules are approximately 80 nucleotides in length. Their secondary structure includes four short double-helical elements and three loops (D, anti-codon, and T loops).
Source: RNAcentral
GCCGACGUAGCUCAGUGGUUAGAGCACCUGUUUUGUAAACAGGGGGUCGUGAGUUCGACUCUCACCGUCGGCU